AAGCCAUGCGAGUCGAGAGGGUUCGGCCCUCGGCGUACUGCUCAGUAACACGUGGACAACCUGCCCUAAGGUGAGGGAUAACCCCGGGAAACUGGGGAUAAUACCUCAUAAUCUACAGAUGCUGGAAUGCUCUGUAGGUGAAAGGUCAGCCGCCUUAGGAUGGGUCUGCGGCCGAUUAGGUAGUUGUUGGGGUAACGGCCCAACAAGCCUGUAAUCGGUACGGGUUGUGGGAGCAAGAGCCCGGAGAUGGAUUCUGAGACAAGAAUCCAGGCCCUACGGGGCGCAGCAGGAGCGGAAACUUUACAAUGCAGGUAACUGUGAUAAGGGAACCCCGAGUGCCCGUAUGGACGGGCUGUUCAGGUGCGUAAAGAACACCUGGAGAAAGGGCCGGGCAAGACCGGUGCCAGCCGCCGCGGUAAUACCGGCGGCUCGAGUGGUGGCCACUAUUACUGGGCUUAAAGCGUCCGUAGCUGGGUAGUUAAGUCUCUUGGGAAAUCCAGCAGCUCAACUGUUGGGCUUUCAGGAGAUACUGUUCGGCUCGAGGCCGGGAGAGGUGAGAGGUACUUCAGGGGUAGGGGUGAAAUCUUGUAACCCUUGAAGGACCACCAGUGGCGAAGGCGCCUCACCAGAACGGACCUGACGGCAAGGGACGAAAGCUAGGGGCACGAACCGGAUUAGAUACCCGGGUAGUCCUAGCCGUAAACGAUACUCGCUAGGUGUCGGCCACGGUGCGACCGUUGUCGGUGCCGUAGGGAAGCCGUGAAGCGAGCCGCCUGGGAAGUACGGUCGCAAGGCUGAAACUUAAAGGAAUUGGCGGGGGAGCACCACAACGGGU
Molecule: ribosomal RNA, 835 nt
Filed under: uncultured archaeon
Lineage: Archaea
Description: bacterial SSU rRNA
Rfam family: Archaeal small subunit ribosomal RNA
Source: RNAcentral